This 380-nucleotide ribosomal RNA is filed under the name Paguristes moorei. RNAcentral's name for it is "partial large subunit ribosomal RNA". Lineage: Eukaryota; Metazoa; Arthropoda; Malacostraca; Decapoda; Diogenidae. The record is from RNAcentral.
UUAGUCUUUUAAUUGGAGGCUCGUAUGAAUGGUUGGACGAAAAAUAAUCUGUCUCUUAGCUGAAAAUUGAAUUUAACAUUUAAGUGAAAAGGCUUAAAUAUAGUAAAAAGACGAUAAGACCCUAUAAAUCUUUACAUUAUCUUAAGGUUUAAGGCUAAAUAUAAGUAAAAUGUUUUUAAACUUUUUAUAAUGUUUUGUUGGGGCAACAUGAAUAGCAAUAUUUAUCUGUUUAUAAAAGUUACAAGAAAUUUUUGAGUGUAUAAAAAUAAGAUCCUUCUUAGAGAUUACAAGAUUAAGUUACUUUAGGGAUAACAGCGUUAUUUUACUUGAGAGUUCUUAUCGAAAGUAAAGUUUGCGACCUCGAUGUUGAAUUAAAAUUU